This 605-nucleotide ribosomal RNA is filed under the name Pachylinae sp. MZSP 72981. Its description in RNAcentral is "partial large subunit ribosomal RNA". The record is from RNAcentral. Lineage: Eukaryota; Metazoa; Arthropoda; Arachnida; Opiliones; Gonyleptidae.
AGCCCGUCGGCCGGUCCGCGCUUCCCUCCCGGGACGCGGCCGGNCGGUGUGCCGGCUCCGGCUUGCGGCGCAUUUCCUCCCGUCCUCCGACGCCGCGACCGGUCGGGCGCGCCACGAGCGGUCGGCCUUACUCGCGGGAAACGGAAGGUAGCCGGGUCGUCGCUUCGGCGUCGUUCCCCGGUGUUCUAGCCGUCCCGCAAUCGAGUCAGCCGUUCGCCCGACCGCAGGAACCAAGGCCCUCAGGGGCCCCGCCGUGCCCUCCCCGUUCUCCGGGGAUCGCUUCCCGUCCCGGAAGGGAUGCCGCCUGUCCCGCGCCGCACCUCCGGUGCACGUGGGGCGGCGGCGCCCGCUGGCUGGGACGUUUGCGAUUCGGGUGCCGGCGGUCCGCGGCGAGUAGGUCGGUCACCCACUCGACCCGUCUUGAAACACGGACCAAGGAGUUUAACAUGCACGCGAGUCACUGGGUCGUGAGCAGGCCCAAGGGCGCAAUGAAAGUGAAGGGCGGCCCAUGCCGUCCGCGUUGGGAUCCCCCGGCCUCCGCGCCGGGGGCGCACCAACGGCUCGUCCGGGCCGCCACGUCGGCCGGGCGAAGCCAGAGCGUGCAC